AAGGCUCUUCUUCUUCUUUUACAACGGUUUCAACUUUUUCAAUUGUUAGCUCAUCUGCUGCUUCUUCUUUCUUUAUUGAUGGUUUUCUUGUAGGUUCGAUUUUUACAUCAACCGUUUCAGAUAUCUCCUGAACUUCUUCGGGCGUUUCUUUUAUUUCUUUUAUCGUAAAAACUUCUUCAGUUACUUCCUGUUCUUUAGGAGUUUCAACUUUUUUCUUUGGACGUUUAAUAGCAACCAAAGUUUCCUCGGGAGAUUUCUCUUUAGUUUCUUUUUUAAGAGAAGAUUUUCGUUUUGGUUUUAAUUUAACUUCAACCUCCUCUGAAGGCUCUUCUUCUUCUUUUACAACGGUUUCAACUUUUUCAAUUGUUAACUCAUCUGCUGAUUCUUCUUUCUUUAUUGAUGGUUUUCUUGUAGGUUCAAUUUUUACAUCAACUGUUUCAGAUAUCUCCUGAACUUCUUCAGGCGUUUCUUUUAUUUCUUUUAUCGUAAAAACUUCUUCAGUUACUUCCUGUUCUUUAGGAGUUUCAACUUUUUUCUUUGGACGUUUAAUAGCAACCAAAGUUUCCUCGGGAGAUUUCUCUU
Molecule: long non-coding RNA, 582 nt
Organism: Aphis gossypii (cotton aphid)
Lineage: Eukaryota; Metazoa; Arthropoda; Insecta; Hemiptera; Aphididae
Exons: 3
Source: RefSeq, a predicted model, not a curated record